UAUUGCACAAUGGGGGAAACCCUGAUGCAGCGACGCCGCGUGAGCGAAGAAGUAUUUCGGUAUGUAAAGCUCUAUCAGCAGGGAAGAAAAAAUGACAGUACCUGACUAAGAAGCCCCGGCUAACUACGUGCCAGCAGCCGCGGUAAUACGUAGGGGGCAAGCGUUAUCCGGAUUUACUGGGUGUAAAGGGAGCGUAGACGGCUGCGCAAGUCAGAAGUGAAAGCCCGGGGCUCAACCGCGGAACUGCUUUUGAAACUGUGUAGCUAGAGUGCAGGAGAGGUAAGUGGAAUUCCUAGUGUAGCGGUGAAAUGCGUAGAUAUUAGGAGGAACACCGGUGGCGAAGGCGGCUUACUGGACUGUAACUGACGUUGAGGCUCGAAAGCGUGGGGAGCAAACAGG
RNAcentral lists this ribosomal RNA (399 nucleotides) under uncultured bacterium. RNAcentral's name for it is "bacterial SSU rRNA". It matches the Rfam family "Bacterial small subunit ribosomal RNA", at positions 362 to 776 of the family's 1533-position model. The record is from RNAcentral.